This 253-nucleotide ribosomal RNA is filed under the name uncultured bacterium. Its description in RNAcentral is "partial 16S ribosomal RNA". It matches the Rfam family "Bacterial small subunit ribosomal RNA", at positions 524 to 776 of the family's 1533-position model. The record is from RNAcentral.
AACGUAGGUGGCAAGCGUUAUCCGGAUUUACUGGGCGUAAAGCGUGUGCAGGCGGAGGUGUAAGUGGUGUAUGAAAGCGCUCGGCUCAACCGGGCAAGGUUAUGCCAGACUGCAUUUCUCGAGGGCGAGAGAGGGGCAUGGAAUUCCGGGUGUAGUGGUGGAAUGCGUAGAGAUCCGGAGGAACACCAGCGGCGAAGGCGGCAUCCUGGACUGGUACUGACGCUCAUGAGCGAAAGCGUGGGGAGCGAUCCGG